RNAcentral lists this ribosomal RNA (253 nucleotides) under uncultured bacterium. Its description in RNAcentral is "partial 16S ribosomal RNA". It matches the Rfam family "Bacterial small subunit ribosomal RNA", at positions 524 to 776 of the family's 1533-position model. The record is from RNAcentral.
UACGAGGGGGGCGAGCGUUGUUCGGAUUUAUUGGGCGUAAAGGGUGCGUAGGCGGUUUGGUAAGUCUGGUGUGAAAUCUAUGGGCUCAACUCAUAGUCUGCAUCGGAAACUGCCGGGCUUGAGUGUGGGAGAGGUGAGUGGAAUUCCUGGUGUAGCGGUGAAAUGCGUAGAUAUCAGGAGGAACACCUGUGGCGAAAGCGGCUCACUGGACCAUAACUGACGCUGAUGCACGAAAGCUAGGGGAGCAAACAGG